This 261-nucleotide ribosomal RNA is filed under the name uncultured archaeon. Its description in RNAcentral is "partial 16S ribosomal RNA". It matches the Rfam family "Archaeal small subunit ribosomal RNA", at positions 748 to 1009 of the family's 1478-position model. The record is from RNAcentral.
UAGCCGUAAACGAUACUCGCUAGGUGUCGGCCACGGUGCGACCGUUGUCGGUGCCGUAGGGAAGCCGUGAAGCGAGCCACCUGGGAAGUACGGCCGCAAGGCUGAAACUUAAAGGAAUUGGCGGGGGAGCACAACAACGGGUGGAGCUUGCGGUUUAAUUGGAUUCAACGCCGAAAAACUCACCAGGAGCGACGGAUAUAUGAAGGUCAAGCUGAUGACUUUACCUGAUUUUCCGAGAGGAGGUGCAUGGCGUAGUCGUGU